This 87-nucleotide non-coding RNA is filed under the name unclassified sequences. RNAcentral's name for it is "RAGATH-10 RNA". It matches the Rfam family "RAGATH-10 RNA". From Rfam's summary of the family: RNA motif Associated with Genes Associated with Twister and Hammerhead ribozymes (RAGATH). The record is from Rfam by way of RNAcentral.
GAAACCUCAUCUUGCUCAAGCGCCAUCCGGGCGCCAGGGCAGUGUUUUUUAUAAAACACGGACAUUCCGUCCGAGUGAGGAGAGAGG